Non-coding RNA from Callorhinus ursinus (northern fur seal), 913 nucleotides. NCBI's taxonomy places the organism in Eukaryota, Metazoa, Chordata, Mammalia, Carnivora, Otariidae. The record is from RefSeq and is a predicted model, not a curated record.
UCGGCGCCCCGGCGCCCUGCGGGUCUGUGCUGGCAGAGGCCCGAGAGCCGCGUCCCGGGCGGCGGGAGAGCAGCCUGUCGCGUCUGGCGAGGAGGAGCGGUGUCCCCAACAGGUGAGGAGUACAGAAGAGGAGACCAUCAUCUUGUCCGGGAGGGGCUCUCAGCAGAGAGUGGUUGCACCAGCUUGCAUUCCCACCAACAGAGCACUGUGUUCUUCUUAACAAGGCCAGGGGAAACUAGCUCACCGAGCCUAACCUCCUGGGGUUUUAUCAGAGCCUAACUGACCUGGAAGAAGAGAAACACCCAACCCCAGCCAGCUCUGGCCACCCUGUCCCACCAUAGCAAGAGGACUGAGAAACCCUGUGAGGGUCACAGCCCAGGGGCACAGGCUCUGUGCAAGUCGGAGUCCCAAUCCUAGGAAAGAUCCUACCAAAUCACUAAAGGCCAGUUUCCAACAGUUCCUUUGCCUGGCGCAUCAUGGCUGGCCAUCAAGAACAAAGGACAGGGUGUACCAAAAGCCAAAAAAAAAAAAAAAACCCCAAGCAAAAACAUUUUGAAGAGAUACAGAUGCAGCAGCAGAACCAGAUGCAGGUAUAGCAGAAAUGCUGGAAUGAUCAUCUCAGGAACUUAACCCACGGUGAUUCAUAUGCUAAGGGCUCUUGCAGGUAGAGUAGACAGCAUGCAAGAGCAGAUGGGCGACGUGAACAGGGAGGUGGAAAUCCUAAGAAAGACUCAAAAAGAAGCUCCAGAGACCAGAAACCCUGUGACAGAAAUGAAGAAUGCCUUUCGAUGGGCUUGUAGGUGGACUGGGUGUGGCUGAGGGAGUAAGCUCGGUGCCUGAGGAUGCACCAGCAGAAGCCUCCGAAACCAAGCAGCAAACAGAAACAAGACUGGGAGAACACAGAAGGGAGUGU